GUUAGGAAUAUUGGACAAUGGGCGAAAGCCUGAUCCAGCCAUGUCGCGUGAACGAUGAAGGCCUUCGGGUUGUAAAGUUCUUUAGCCGAUGAUUAUAAUGACUGUAGUCGGAAAAUAAGCCCCGGCUAACUUCGUGCCAGCAGCCGCGGUAAUACGAAGGGGGCGAGCGUUAUUCGGAAUCACUGGGCGUAAAGCGUGCGUAGGCGGUUUUGUAAGUUAGGAGUGAAAGCCCAGGGCUCAACCUUGGAAUUGCUCUUAAAACUGCAAGGCUCGAAUCUCGGAGAGGAUAGCGGAAUUUCCAGUGUAGCAGUGAAAUGCGUAGAUAUUGGAAGGAACACCAGUGGCGUAAGCGGCUAUCUGGACCGAUAUUGACGCUGAGGCACGAAAGCGUGGGGAGCAAACAGGAUUAGAAACCCGUGUAGUCC
This 425-nucleotide ribosomal RNA is filed under the name uncultured bacterium. RNAcentral's name for it is "partial 16S ribosomal RNA". It matches the Rfam family "Bacterial small subunit ribosomal RNA", at positions 354 to 796 of the family's 1533-position model. The record is from RNAcentral.